UACAGGAUGGACCCGCGUCUGAUUAGCUAGUUGGUAAGGUAACGCCUUACCAAGGCGACGAUCAGUAGCCGACCUGAGAGGGUGAUCGCCCACAUUGGAACUGAGACACGGUCCAAACUCCUACGGGAGGCAGCAGUGGGGAAUAUUGCACAAUGGGCGAAAGCCUGAUGCAGCAACGCCGCGUGAGUGAUGAAGGCCUUCGGGUCGUAAAACUCUGUCCUCAAGGAAGAUAAUGACGGUACUUGAGGAGGAAGCCCCGGCUAACUACGUGCCAGCAGCCGCGGUAAUACGUAGGGGGCUAGCGUUAUCCGGAUUUACUGGGCGUGAAGGGUGCGUAGGCGGUCUUUCAAGUCAGGAGUGAAAGGCUACGGCUCAACCGUAGUAAGCUCUUGAAACUGGGAGACUUGAGUGCAGGAGAGGAGAGUGGAAUUCCUAGUGUAGCGGUGAAAUGCGUAGAUAUUAGGAGGAACACCAGUUGCGAAGGCGGCUCUCUGGACUGUAACUGACGCUGAGGCACGAAAGCGUGGGGAGCAAACAGGAUUAGAUACCCUGGUAGUCCACGCUGUAAACGAUGAGUACUAGGUGUCGGGGGUUACCC
This 598-nucleotide ribosomal RNA is filed under the name uncultured bacterium. Its description in RNAcentral is "bacterial SSU rRNA". It matches the Rfam family "Bacterial small subunit ribosomal RNA", at positions 219 to 839 of the family's 1533-position model. The record is from RNAcentral.